Long non-coding RNA from Bubalus bubalis (water buffalo), 3796 nucleotides. RefSeq lists it as uncharacterized. Lineage: Eukaryota; Metazoa; Chordata; Mammalia; Artiodactyla; Bovidae. The record is from RefSeq and is a predicted model, not a curated record. The transcript has 2 exons.
UGGAGAAUCCCAUAGACGGAGAGGCCUGGCGGGCUACAGUCCAUAGGGUCGCACACGACUAAAGGGACUUAGCAUGAAUUCCGUGAGGAUCUAAUGGCUUGGGGAGGCCUAGGUUUUUUCAGCCUCCCCUGUGUGACUCACAUCUCUCUGCUUAUAUCUUUAUAAGAGCAUCAUGUAGAAGGAAAAGAGCCACUAACAAGCCUUGUGCUGCCAGAGGCACAUACCCCUCCCCCAGCGGGACCAACAGAAGGUUAGGGCCAGAACUAAGAGGAAAGUAAGGCUGCCCCAUCUCACAGAGGAGGAAACUGAGGCUCAGGAAGGAGCAGUGAUGUUUCCUGAUUUGACUGUGAUGUUAGCAGCAGCAGCAGCACUUUGAGAGGGUCAAAGACAAAGAUCUAAGACAUCAUUUGCAGAUGAGGAAACAGAAUCACACAGAGGGGAAGCCAUGGACCCAGGCUCCCUGGAUGGAAAACGUGUCCUGACUCUUGUUCCACUGCACCAUCCCAUCCUUCGGGAUGGGUGACAUCCCUGCAAGGCAGGCGCUUCUGACAUUCCAGAGAAAGUGCUCUGUCAAGCCUCGGCAGACACCAAGCCCAAACAUUAAGUCAGCCCAAACACUCCAUAGGAUGCUCUGGUCCCCACAAAGUGUUUGGGACUUAACAAGCAUCAGCUGAGAACCUGCUGGGUGCCAGGCAUGGGAUGUGCUUUGGUACAAGUUAUUUGAGUGAAUCUUCCCAGAAAUUUUUGGAAGGAAAAAAGCCUCCUUCCCUUUGCCAGGUGCGAAAGUGGAGGGCAGAGGGCUUCAGCUCUGGCUCAGCCCUGUCAACGGUAGGGGAGGAAGCCGCGUUUGAGCUGGGUGGCCUAACGCCUCCGUCAUCUCUCCACCACAGAGCACAGUCUCCUUCUUGCUGGUCCCCGCAGCUUCUAGCUUUGAGAAGGGGACCCUCAGCACCCUCCCCACUCACAGCCCUUCUGAACUUGACUCCACCUGACCCAGCUCUGCUACCAGGGCACCCAGGGGCCCUGGCCAGCUCCUUCCCUCUACUGUGGUCCUCUUUCCCUGUGUGCUGUAUGCUGAGUGUGGGGCCACUUUAUAUUUACAACAAUCACUUCCUUCUCUGGCCCCUCCUCCUCUGCAGGCCAGCUGUCCAGGGCUGGGGAGAAUGACUUCUCUCCAUGGGCUCUGGAAAAUGUUCCUUGGGAAUAACGGUUCAGAUGUUCACUCUCCCCAGUCACCAGCCCUGAUUUACAAACCAGAUAAAGUGUAUUUUCUUUGUGAAUCAAGAGUGGGUGGAGAGUAACCGAGCAGGAGCCCCUUCCGUUGUUGUCACGGGAUAAAACCGCUCAGCUGAAUGGGCUCUUGGACGAUCCUUGGAAGGUGGCUUAAAGCCAAGAGGAGACCUGUGGGCCUUUUUCCCUCGAGGGGUGUCUGCUCCCUCCCACAGCUUACACAUUUUUUCAUGGGCUCCACACUGCUUUCUAUCCCCGUGGAUGCCCAUCAGUUCUUGUCUGUUCUGAAGCCACCAGCCCCUCCUUGGAGUGAAGGACUUGGGCUGUGCUCACUUUUGCUUUCAGAUCUGGAUUUAAGCAUAUUAGUCAAGGGCCCACUAUGUGCCAGGCCUUGAACCAAGCACUUCCUACCUUCUCUUUUUUCAAUCUGAGGCUGAAUGCAUUAGUUCGUUUAACAAGGGAAGCCCUGAGAGUCAGCGGGAUGAGAGGCAUGGCUGGGGCUGUGAACUGGUGGGAGAGGGAGUAGAGGCUAGGACCAGCUCGACUGCUUUCUUUUCUCAUCAUUCUUGUAUUUUCCUCAUAAUCUUUUUGUUCCGUUUUACCCCAGCCUGUCUUCCACUGGUGUCUGUUGGACUGUAAAUGCCUUUUCAAUCUCUUGUGUUCGAAGUACCGUUUUUCAGUUCUUAGCACCAAGGAAGGUGAUGAUCCUAAAGACAGGCUGCAGAGAAAACCAUCCAGGACUAGGACACCAAGGUACUCGUUGCCCAAGUUUGAAGGACUCAGCAUUGAGUGUGGCCUUUAAUUUUGGCUAUAUUGCUCAAAGAAUAUUCUGGAAGCUGUUGAGUCUGAAUCUAGCCUGCUUGCCUCUCUGGGUUUAAAUCCUGGCCCUGUACAUAUAACUGUGGGACUCCAGACAAGUAAACUGCUCUGUGCUUUGGUUUCCUCAUCUGCCAGUAAGGCUGAUGGUAGCGCCUCUAUAGGGCUGUUGUAAGGAUUAAAUAAAUUUAUAUGUGUAAGAUGCACAGAACUUAGUGGUGAUUAGUGGAAGUAAGCACUAAUUAGUGGUAGCUGUGGUAGAAAUGGAUGCAUUGGGUCUGAGGAGGGGACUGGACAAUUAUUCUGGCUUUUUUUUUUUUUUUCGGCUCCUGCCAAGAUAUCCAGGGCUGGGAUCCAGAUGGGGAGCUGUGGCCUGAGGGUCCUGUCUGUCCCGUCCUCUCUUUCCUGUCUGGCUGCCUUGCCACUACUGAACUGAUCCAGGUGUGGGCAGCAGGCGUGGGCAGGGCCAUUGUGGUGAAGCUUGCAUGGCCUCUGGCCUUGAGUUCUUCUUGAAGGGAAAGGUACGAGUCAGGGAUGAUGCAGUGUGACAUGGGCUGUGAGCUGCUUCUAUAGGAGCCUAGCCCAGGCUGGGAGUGUGUAUGGGGUACCUUGGAGGGGUUGCCAAGGAGAGGUGGAAGCUCAGUUACGGACAAUGGGAGUCAGUCAGACAGAGGAGGAACAUGUAACAGAGAGUGUUGCAGGCAAAGAUAGUGGUGUCUGCAAAGCCAGAGAGCUGGACGGAGGCUUGUGGGGAGUGAGGAGUGGGGCGUGCAGAACAGCAGGCAGCAUGUAGUUCCCCCUGGCUGGGCAUCACACAUGCCAGUGUGGGUGGUGACGGUACACUGGAGAGGUGGUCAGGAAGAGGUAAGGGGGCCUUGAUAGCCACGCUAUAGAUUUUUUUUUGAUGUGAACCAUCUUUAAAGUCUUUAUGGAAUUUGUUACAAUAUUGCUUCUGUUUUAUGUUUUGGUUUUUUGGCCAGGAGGGAGGCAUAUGGGAUCUCAGCUCCCCGACCCAGGAUUGAAUCCACACUCCCUGCACUGGAAGGGGAUGUCUUCACCAUUGGACCACCAGGCGAAUCCCCAUGCUACGGAAAUUUGAUUCUACACCAAGGGCAGUGGGGACCUGGGGGUGGGGCUGUGGUAGGUGAAUUGAAUGAUCUUAUUCCUGCUUUAGGAACAUCACAGCUGGAAAGGAUGAAAGGGAGAAGACCAGCUUGGAUUCAUGGGAUCAUCCUAGAGCUGCUGUUUCAUCUAGGAAGAAGGAAAUGGUGACUUGACCCAGAGUAGUGUCUGGGGAUAGAAGGGGACAGACAGAUUUAACAGUCAUUUAGUGCUUCGUGACUGAAUGAAUGUGUUAGUAAUUGCAAGGAAGAGGAAAGGCUCAAGAAUGACAGCUCUCUGCAACAUUCCCACCAAGGUUUGCCCAGCCUCCUCUUGCAUACCUCCAGUCAUGGGCAGCUCACUACCUAGUUGUUUAGCAUUUAGUAGUUACCUACUUUAGUUUAAAUCUGUCCAGAUGUGCAUCUUAAAGCUGCAAAAGCAAACAUAAACCUCAUUCACUAGUAGCUUUCCAGGCAUGUGAAGGCAGUUUAGCGGACACACACUCCUCUUUUUACUGCCUUCGUCAUUUUUGUUGUUGUUGUUAGUGUGAAUGUUCUCAGAUUUCUCCCUCUAAUGCGGACAUUACAUCCUCUUCUAUUUUUGGCAAACAAGAAUAUCGAAUAAUAAAUUUGCAAAAAGAGCUACAGUC